Molecule: ribosomal RNA, 582 nt
Filed under: Lophiotoma jickeli
Lineage: Eukaryota; Metazoa; Mollusca; Gastropoda; Neogastropoda; Turridae
Description: partial 12S ribosomal RNA
Source: RNAcentral
UGCCAGCAGUCGCGGUUACACCAAAGAGUUAAGUCAUAUAAUAAUGGUAAAAAGACAGUUAGACAUAAUUUUUAAGGUUUACUUAGCUUUUAUAAAAAGGUAAAAUUUGUAUAUAAUUGUAUAUUUUAAUAAAAACCGAAAAGUUGAAUCUGUGACAGCCUGGAGGGAAACUGGGAUUAGAUACCCCAUUAUUCCUGGAUAUAAACUAAAUUUAAAUUUACCAGAGUACUAUGAAUACAUAAAAUUUAAAACUCAAAGGACUUGGCGGUAUUUUAGACCACUUAGGGGAACCUGUCUCAUAAUCGAUAAUCCACGUUAUACCUAACCUUUUUUUGCUUUCAGCUUGUAUAUCGUUGUCGUCAGGUAACUUUUUAGAAAUUAGGAGUUAGCUAAAAACAAUAAAUUAAAACGUCAAAUCAAGGUGCAGUUAAUAAAAAGGGGAAGAUGGGUUACAAUUAUUUUAUUUAUAAUUACGGAAAACUAUAAGAAUUUUGCAGUUAAGAAGGAGGACUUAAAAGUAAAUUAAAUUAUAUAAAUAAUUUGAAUAAGGCUCUGAAAUGUGCACACAUCGCCCGCCGCUCU